AGUGAAGCUGGUGUCCUUGAAGGACAAGUGUUCAGGAAAACCGGCAGACUUGUUCCACUGAGUGAGCAGAAUCACGCGGAAUGCUUCGGCCCUCAAGGCAAUAGGGCUGCAGAGGUGGACUAAUGGAUUACGCAUUCCAGUAUGCUCUUGGCAACGGAGGUGUGGACUUGGAUCUAUUUUAUCCAUAUCAUACAAAGGGACCCUGCGCGCCCGUGAACUCACCCCCGUGGGACAGGGACAGAGUCCCGUCAGCUGAGAACCGCGCGGUUCCAGCUGCUGCUGUUGCUUCUCCUCACUGUUCAGAGAACGAGGCUUUGUGAAGAGACCUCCGUGAUGACGAUUUACACCUGGAAGUGACGUCGGAGGGGAUCCUACUCCCUUUAAGAACAAAUGGGACUCGAGUAAAGACCUGCCCCUCCCUAAGAUGGACUCAAGGCCACAUGCCCUGGUCAAGGUAUGUUAGGGACAUGAUGACGACCAAGAUUGCAAAACAAUGCUUUCUGGACAUUGUGGUGCCAGGAAGUGCCCUUGAGCACAGAUUACUUUGAGGAAUCUGAAAAUUACAUUGGAAAUAAUUUUCAGAUUGGACAGUGGAUUGGUAUAACUUUAUAGAUGGGUUCUUUUGGGCCAAUACCUACCUACAGAAGUGUUUGUAACUGAUCCUGCUAAAUGUAUUGUGGGAGUAGGUUUGUUGAUUAUAGGUAAUAGUUCUCUUGAUCAUAAGGAAUGUUCUCAAUGCGGAAAUACCAUGAUUGGAACAGUGAUGGUGACUGUGGGUAAAACUGUAACUUUUCCAGAAUAUCUCACCUGGCUUUGGUACACCUGCAUAUCAACAGGCAUUCAGA
Manis javanica (Malayan pangolin) is the source of this 845-nucleotide non-coding RNA. The record is from RefSeq and is a predicted model, not a curated record. Lineage: Eukaryota; Metazoa; Chordata; Mammalia; Pholidota; Manidae.